RNAcentral lists this ribosomal RNA (427 nucleotides) under uncultured Acinetobacter sp. RNAcentral describes it as "bacterial SSU rRNA". It matches the Rfam family "Bacterial small subunit ribosomal RNA", at positions 356 to 774 of the family's 1533-position model. Lineage: Bacteria; Pseudomonadati; Pseudomonadota; Gammaproteobacteria; Moraxellales; Moraxellaceae. The record is from RNAcentral.
GGGGAAUAUUGGACAAUGGGGGGAACCCUGAUCCAGCCGUGCCGCGUGUGUGAAGAAGGUCUUAUGGUUGUAUAGCACAUUAAGCGAGGAGGAGGCUCUUUUGGUUAAUACCCAAGAUGACUGGACGUUACUCGCAGAAUAAGCACCGGCUAACUCUGUGCCAGCAGCCGCGGUAAUACAGAGGGUGCGAGCGUUAAUCGGAUUUACUGGGCGUAAAGCGUGCGUAGGCGGCUUUUUAAGUCGGAUGUGAAAUCCCCGAGCUUAACUUGGGAAUUGCAUUCGAUACUGGGAAGCUAUAGGAUGGGAGAGGAUGGUAGAAUUCCAGGUGUAGCGGUGAAAUGCGUAGAGAUCUGGAGGAAUACCGACGGCGAAGGCAGCCAUCUGGCCUAAUACUGACGCUGAGGUACGAAAGCAUGGCGAGCAAACA